CUUCGCUGAUGAGUCUCCACUUCAUGGUCCGUGUUUCUGAGCUCUGUGAUAAAAGUGGAAGUUCUGACAAG
Paramormyrops kingsleyae is the source of this 71-nucleotide small nucleolar RNA. Its record names the gene SNORD18. It matches the Rfam family "Small nucleolar RNA SNORD18". Rfam says of the family: U18 is a member of the C/D class of snoRNA which contain the C (UGAUGA) and D (CUGA) box motifs. It is encoded in introns of ribosomal protein L1 in Xenopus and human, and in introns of elongation factor 1 beta in yeast. Lineage: Eukaryota; Metazoa; Chordata; Actinopteri; Osteoglossiformes; Mormyridae. The record is from Ensembl.